CGUACCAAACUAUCAGAGCGGCGGCAAAGCUUUAGUCCCAACCAUCAUCGGAUCAUGGCUUCCACAUUUCCAAAGACAUACCGCAAGAAACGGUACAACCACCCUCAUCACAAGCGAUCUCGUCCCGCUUGCCAGCAGGGACUGUAUGUUCAUUGUGUCAGGGUUUGCUCCACCACGAGGGUACUGAGGAUGCAAGUUGGAGACAUCAUCCUAGAAAUUAAUGGAGAACUUGUGGAGGGAAAAACCACUAAGGAAGUUGUCACCAGUUUGAUGCGUUCCCCAGACGAUCUCAUCCUGAAAGUCAAAGAAGAUGCUGAGACGAAAUCGAGAGUUCUAAAGUUCUUGGAACCACUGGAAAAUCCUCCCGGAUCCAACCCCAAGAUCCGAGUGAAGACCAUUGGUCACGCCAGCCCCAAACACAAGCAGCAGAAGAUUAAGGAAUCCUCACCAGUCAGACCUGGUUCGACCCAGCCGUCGCCACCAGCGACACCCAAUGGCCAAACAGAUGACAGCAGGCCUGAAAAUGGACAGAGCAGUGUGAGUCUGGAGUCAACGAAGCUGGAUUCUAGUUCAGGAGAAUUGGGCGAUGUGGACGUGAAACAAUGCAAGAGUGGUGGCGUGAUAAUUGUUGAGACUCCUGACAGUGACCUGCCGUCUCCUGUGAAAACAAACAAUAUUCAUCCUUCAGAUCAUAGGCUAACCGGUGGUGCCCCCAUCAACGGGAUUGGCAGGGAUCAGUUACGCGAUCGGGAUAUGCCAAGCGCAAGGCAGGUGUACGCAGCUAAUGCAUACUCAUUCAGCUCGGAUUCAAGUGUUUCAGACAUUCCAUCUGUGCAGGUUAUGACGACUGUGGCGCAAAUCCACCGGGAGGACUCUUCCCUGAUUGCGCGGACUUUGCCCGAUCAGGAGAUGACUGAUGUGAUGGACGGGCAGCUUCACAGCAGUCCCAAUUGCAAACAUGCAGACCAGGAAUCUGAUUUGAGGCAUAACGACAUCAAUAGGAAUGUUAGUAAAAUGCCCAUGGUGUCACUGGCUGAGAGCGAGUCAUCCCAAAGUGAGUUGUCCUCCCAAGCUAGCUCUUGUCCCUCAGAGGGACCACUCGCAGACUCACCCCUCAGAACUCACAGACUUGCAGCAGCCUCAAAGCACCCUACUGGUAAGGAUGCAGCCGAGCGCGCUACACAGGUUGACCUUUCGUUGGCGGGAGAGAAGGAAACAGACAGUGUAACGUACGACUCGGGAUAUGCAAGCACGUCGUCUGUCGCCAAACAGUGCUCCAACUUCUCCCAUUCCCAGUCAUCUCAGACAAACUUGGAUGCCGACGCGAGUAAGUCGAUGGAGAACCCCCCGGAUGAGCAGCAGCCAACUGAGCCGCGUCAGGCAACCACCCUGGUGCAUCACGGGAGUGAUGCCAUGGAGCCGUGGACUGGCGGGAUGGGUUCUCGGACGUCCAGCGAUCACAGCGUGAAUUCCGAAGAGUCAGAGUGUUUGGACAUGGACAGUCUAGGGAACGCUCUUCAAGCUGGUAGCAAGAAUCUGGAUGUACCAUCGGCCCAACGAUUAGCCAAACGAUUAUUCAUGUUGGACGGAUUCAAGAGAUCGGAUGUAGCUAAACAUUUAAGUAAAAGGAAUGACUUUAGCAAGCUAGUGGCCGAGGAAUAUGUCACCUACUUUGACUUCACCAACCUCCCCCUGGAUAUUGCGCUGCGCAAAUUCCUGGCCAAGAUCGCCGUGUCCGGCGAGACGCAGGAGAGGGAACGGGUGCUGCUCCACUUCUCCACGCGGUACCAGCAGUGCAACGAGAUAGAGUUCCGAUCAGUGGACGCCGUGAAUGCCCUGACCUGCGCGUUGAUGCUUCUCAACACCGAUCUCCAUGGACAGAACAUUGCAAAGAAGAUGUCCCUGAGCGCCUUCAUAUCCAAUCUAGAAAGGAUGAACGAGGGGGAAGACUUCUCUCGAGAAAUGCUCAAAACGUUCUACCAGUCCAUCAAAUCCAAGCCCCUGGAGUGGGCGUGCGACGAGGAGGAGAAGCUUCUGAAGAGAGGGAGUAGGACGGGCAACGGGACCAUGACCGUCGGCAGCAAUCCGUUCCUCGAGGUCCAGAAUGACCCCAAUGCUCCAGUGUACAUCAAGGGCUACAUCAUGAGGAAAGUGACGAGAGAUGCAGAGGGAAAGAAAAAUCCCAAGGGCAAACGAGCAUGGAAGAUGUUUUAUGCAACAGUGAAGGGGCUUAUUCUCUAUUUACACAAGUCGGAGAUGCAUCACCAGAUGCAUUUCAACACGCCCAAGGAAGCCGUCAGCAUACACCACUCCCUCUCCAGCAAGGUGUCCAACUACAGCAAGCGACCCAACGUCUUCAACCUCCGUCUCGCCAACUGGAGGGAGUUUUUUAUUCAGUGUCUACCGUGCGACAGGCAGACUCCGGAAGCAGGUGCUGCCUCUGCUUCCAACACGUCCCAAGGUUCCAGUGAUUCACAAGAUUUGCAGAACUGGAUGCAGGCGUUGAACCUUGCCGCUGCGGUCCACUCGGCGCCGCCCCUACCGGCAGCGGUCGGACUCCAGAAGACGUUCAGACGUCCCCUGCUGCCGUCCUCACCGUCAAAACUGAACACGCAAGAGCAGCUUGGUAGCCAUGAGAGGAAAGUAGAAUCCAUCGAGCAGGAGUUGGAGGACCAUCGGUCCUACCCCCCUGAUCAGGGCCAGAGAGCAUCAGUAAUGAAGGACUAUCAGACCAAGCAGGAAUAUCUGGAAUAUGAGUUGUCGCGCUUCAAGACCUACAUCUACCUUCUGCGGUCCCAGCUGGUAGCCCAGCAGACCACGGCCAUCGGCAAGUACACCCUGGAAGAGGUGAUGCCCCAGCCCACGCAGUCCAUGGACAGUAUGUCCUCCACGUCCAGCGUCUCGUCCUUAGAGGGCAGCCAGGGGAGCGGUCAGCCGCAGCAACCACAGAACAAGCUGUUUUAAACCUGGUCUUGCCUUUUUUUUUUUAACCAUCGUACCGCCUGCUGUUUCUUGAGCUUGCCAAGGAAGAAAAACGAAACCAGUGUGGGGUUGCUUGAUAAAAAUCCUGUUAUGCAUUUUUAACGUGUGAUGUACUAUGACAGUGAUGAUGCCAACAGUUGCCAUGACAGCACAGAUGACACUGAUGAGGAAGAUGAAGAGGAAGACGACAUUGAUG
This 3178-nucleotide unclassified non-coding RNA is filed under the name Acanthaster planci (crown-of-thorns starfish). RNAcentral describes it as "pH and SEC7 domain-containing protein 2-like, transcript variant X2". Lineage: Eukaryota; Metazoa; Echinodermata; Asteroidea; Valvatida; Acanthasteridae. The record is from RNAcentral.